This 395-nucleotide long non-coding RNA is filed under the name Eucalyptus grandis. RNAcentral describes it as "long non-coding RNA (EGRA_LNC002156)". Lineage: Eukaryota; Viridiplantae; Streptophyta; Magnoliopsida; Myrtales; Myrtaceae. The record is from RNAcentral.
AAAAAUUUGAAUCCUCGCGCGCCUUUCUCUCUCCUGCAGACUGAGUAAAGGACUGACACAAGUAACAAUUAAUGCGUUGCCUUCUCUCUCUCCUCUUUCUACAGAUGAGGUCCUCCUUCACGACCUCUCUCUUCUGCAACAAAGGCCUCCACCUCCAUCCUCUCUUCCUCUCCCUUCCUCCUUCUUCUUCGCCUUUCCGGCUUCGGCUCCAAAAACCACCAACCGGCCUCUCGAACUCUGCUUUGCCUUCUACACUUAGUUUGAUCCCGAUUUCCGAUUCGGAUACAUCACCAAAGAUUUCGAAGUGGAACUAGGCUGCAAAGAGGAGGUUGGAUAUUUCGGUAGUGGCGCCGCGUUUCGGAGAUCCGGCGACGGCUGCGAGAGAUAUUGUGGCG